UACGUAGGGGGCAAGCGUUAUCCGGAUUUAUUGGGCGUAAAGAGCUCGUAGGCGGCCGUUCGCGUCGGAUGUGAAAGCUCAGGGCUCAACUCUGAGAUGCCAUUCGAUACGGGACGGCUAGAGGUAGGUAGGGGAGAGUGGAAUUCCUGGUGUAGCGGUGAAAUGCGCAGAUAUCAGGAGGAACACCGGUGGCGAAGGCGGCUUCCUGGCAUGUUCUUGACGCUGAGGCGCGAAAGCUAGGGGAGCAAACGGG
RNAcentral lists this ribosomal RNA (253 nucleotides) under uncultured bacterium. RNAcentral describes it as "partial 16S ribosomal RNA". It matches the Rfam family "Bacterial small subunit ribosomal RNA", at positions 524 to 776 of the family's 1533-position model. The record is from RNAcentral.